RNAcentral lists this ribosomal RNA (298 nucleotides) under uncultured eukaryote. Its description in RNAcentral is "partial 18S ribosomal RNA". It matches the Rfam family "Eukaryotic small subunit ribosomal RNA", at positions 1470 to 1796 of the family's 1831-position model. The record is from RNAcentral.
CCCUUAGACACUCUAGGCGGCACGCGCGCUACAAUGGGCGGAAGAACGUGUUACUGCCUCCGAAAGGAGGGGUGAAUCACGAAUUCUUGCCCGUGAAUGGGAUAGUUUGUUGCAAUUUUCGGACUUGAACUAGGAAUCCCUUGUAAACAUGCUCAAGAAUAGCGUGUUGAAUACGUCCCUGCCGUUUGUACACACCGCCCGUCGUUUCUUCCGACUGAUACUCAUUGUGAGUUGCAAGGACCCUUUAUUGGGAAAUUGCUGCAAAUGCUUUGUAUUGGAGGGAGAAAAAGUCGUAACA